GAGCGGCGGACGGGUGAGUAAUGCCUAGGAAAUUGCCCUGAUGUGGGGGAUAACCAUUGGAAACGAUGGCUAAUACCGCAUAAUGCCUACGGGCCAAAGAGGGGGACCUUCGGGCCUCUCGCGUCAGGAUAUGCCUAGGUGGGAUUAGCUAGUUGGUGAGGUAAUGGCUCACCAAGGCGACGAUCCCUAGCUGGUCUGAGAGGAUGAUCAGCCACACUGGAACUGAGACACGGUCCAGACUCCUACGGGAGGCAGCAGUGGGGAAUAUUGCACAAUGGGCGCAAGCCUGAUGCAGCCAUGCCGCGUGUGUGAAGAAGGCCUUCGGGUUGUAAAGCACUUUCAGUCGUGAGGAAGGUGGUAGUGUUAAUAGCCCUAUCAUUUGACGUUAGCGACAGAAGAAGCACCGGCUAACUCCGUGCCAGCAGCCGCGGUAAUACGGAGGGUGCGAGCGUUAAUCGGAAUUACUGGGCGUAAAGCGCAUGCAGGUGGUUUGUUAAGUCAGAUGUGAAAGCCCGGGGCUCAACCUCGGAAUAGCAUUUGAAACUGGCAGACUAGAGUACUGUAGAGGGGGGUAGAAUUUCAGGUGUAGCGGUGAAAUGCGUAGAGAUCUGAAGGAAUACCGGUGGCGAAGGCGGCCCCCUGGACAGAUACUGACACUCAGAUGCGAAAGCGUGGGGAGCAAACAGGAUUAGAUACCCUGGUAGUCCACGCCGUAAACGAUGUCUACUUGGAGGUUGUGGCCUUGAGCCGUGGCUUUCGGAGCUAACGCGUUAAGUAGACCGCCUGGGGAGUACGGUCGCAAGAUUAAAACUCAAAUGAAUUGACGGGGGCCCGCACAAGCGGUGGAGCAUGUGGUUUAAUUCGAUGCAACGCGAAGAACCUUACCUACUCUUGACAUCCAGAGAACUUUCCAGAGAUGGAUUGGUGCCUUCGGGAACUCUGAGACAGGUGCUGCAUGGCUGUCGUCAGCUCGUGUUGUGAAAUGUUGGGUUAAGUCCCGCAACGAGCGCAACCCUUAUCCUUGUUUGCCAGCGAGUAAUGUCGGGAACUCCAGGGAGACUGCCGGUGAUAAACCGGAGGAAGGUGGGGACGACGUCAAGUCAUCAUGGCCCUUACGAGUAGGGCUACACACGUGCUACAAUGGCGCAUACAGAGGGCAGCAAGCUAGCGAUAGUGAGCGAAUCCCAAAAAGUGCGUCGUAGUCCGGAUUGGAGUCUGCAACUCGACUCCAUGAAGUCGGAAUCGCUAGUAAUCGUGGAUCAGAAUGCCACGGUGAAUACGUUCCCGGGCCUUGUACACACCGCCCGUCACACCAUGGGAGUGGG
RNAcentral lists this ribosomal RNA (1325 nucleotides) under Vibrio sp. 1F5. RNAcentral's name for it is "bacterial SSU rRNA". It matches the Rfam family "Bacterial small subunit ribosomal RNA", at positions 93 to 1414 of the family's 1533-position model. Lineage: Bacteria; Pseudomonadati; Pseudomonadota; Gammaproteobacteria; Vibrionales; Vibrionaceae. The record is from RNAcentral.